UUAAUGUGGGUUAUCUUGCUCACAUAAACCAUAUUCUGUCCCUGACGGACAAGGUUGGAUAAAUGACGAGUGUUACUUGGAGUGACAUUUUAUACAGGAACCUCUGUGGACAUUGCAUUGAUGGUGUUCGAGGAAGCGAGUGAGUGGGCAUCCAGUGGGGCCAGGUGAGGGCAGUUAAUGGUCAGGGUGGUAGGAUAGCUGUGCUUCUUAGAGCAUAGGUGAGGAUGCGGCCAGAAUGGUGACCCAGACGAUGAUAGAACUGUGGUGGAGAAACACAGGUGGAUGAGGAACCUGCCUACUCACCCAGUUCCAGCCAGUCUCCCUGGGAAGGCAGCCAUCCUUUUGCCUCUUCUCUAUUGUCACCCACUUCCUAGCACCACAAGAAGUACCAGCAUAUCCACCAGAAGUCGUUUUGCUGCCCUGAGCCGGCUUGUGGGAAGUCCUUCAACUUUAAAAAGCACCUGAAGGAGCAUGUGAAACUACACAGCGAUGCCAGGGACUACAUCUGUGAAUUCUGUGCCCGAUCUUUCCGCACUAGCAGCAACCUUGUCAUCCACAGACGGAUCCACACGGGAGAGAAGCCCCUGCAGUGAGUGCCAGGGGCCAUGGAGGGAGUGAUUAUCUGGCAGGCAGGGAGUGGGCAGCAGAACCUCCAGGGAGGUGAAGGUGGACCGAGGCUCCUUCCU
This 686-nucleotide long non-coding RNA is filed under the name Rattus norvegicus (Norway rat). Its description in RNAcentral is "long non-coding RNA NONRATT004319". The record is from RNAcentral. Lineage: Eukaryota; Metazoa; Chordata; Mammalia; Rodentia; Muridae.